Molecule: small nuclear RNA, 177 nt
Filed under: Sinocyclocheilus grahami
Lineage: Eukaryota; Metazoa; Chordata; Actinopteri; Cypriniformes; Cyprinidae
Description: U2 spliceosomal RNA (ENSSGRG00000017968.1)
Rfam family: U2 spliceosomal RNA
About the family: U2 is a small nuclear RNA (snRNA) component of the spliceosome (involved in pre-mRNA splicing). Complementary binding between U2 snRNA (in an area lying towards the 5' end but 3' to hairpin I) and the branchpoint sequence (BPS) of the intron results the bulging out of an unpaired adenosine, on the BPS, which initiates a nucleophilic attack at the intronic 5' splice site, thus starting the first of two transesterification reactions that mediate splicing.
Source: Rfam by way of RNAcentral
AAAACUUUUUCAAAAAAAAAAAAAUCUGUUCUUAUCAGUUUAAUAUCUGAUACGUCCCCUAUCCGGGGACUGCAUAUUAAAUGGAUUUUUGGAUCACGGAGCUGGAGCCGGGGCUUGCUCCAUCCACUCCACGCAUCGGCCUGUUAUUGCAGUGUAUCCAGAAAUGGUGCUUCCAGU